This 264-nucleotide unclassified non-coding RNA is filed under the name plant metagenome. Its description in RNAcentral is "partial contains small subunit ribosomal RNA, internal transcribed spacer 1, and 5.8S ribosomal RNA". The record is from RNAcentral.
UUUCCGUAGGUGAACCUGCGGAAGGAUCAUUAUUGAAACUUCAUCCGGGGCGCCGCGGCCCUCAGCACCGGUGGAAACGCCGUGCUGCGGGGGCCGCGCGUGCACUCGUCCAAACCAAACCCCUGUGAACCUUACGGGAUGGCCCGGGUUAGCGCCCGGUGCCGUUCCGCUUUAUACAAACACUUAUCAAAGAAUGAACGGAAGGCGGUCUGACCGCUGGAUAACAAACUGAAACAACUUUCAACAACGGAUCUCUUGGCUCUC